CNGGGUUAAGUCCNGNANNNANNGCACCCCUUGUCCUUAGUUACCANCNCGUCAUGGUGGGCACUCUAAGGAGACUGCCGGUGACAAACCGGAGGAAGGUGGGGAUGACGUCAAGUCAUCAUGGCCCUUACGGCCUGGGCUACACACGUGCUACAAUGGUCGGUACAGAGGGUUGCCAAGCCGCGAGGUGGAGCUAAUCCCAUAAAACCGAUCGUAGUCCGGAUCGCAGUCUGCAACUCGACUGCG
This 246-nucleotide ribosomal RNA is filed under the name Pseudomonas sp. AZTITEMP169. RNAcentral describes it as "partial 16S ribosomal RNA". It matches the Rfam family "Bacterial small subunit ribosomal RNA", at positions 1074 to 1320 of the family's 1533-position model. The record is from RNAcentral. Lineage: Bacteria; Pseudomonadati; Pseudomonadota; Gammaproteobacteria; Pseudomonadales; Pseudomonadaceae.